GGACCCGCACAAGUAGUGGAGCAUGUGGUUUAAUUCGAAGAUACGCGCAGAACCUUACCAACACUUGACAUGUUCGUCGCGACUUUAAGAGAUUAAAGUUUUCGGUUCGGCCGGACGAAACACAGGUGCUGCAUGGCUGUCGUCAGCUCGUGUCGUGAGAUGUUGGGUUAAGUCCCGCAACGAGCGCAACCCUCACUUUUAGUUGCCAUCAUUAAGUUGGGCACUCUGAAAGAACUGCCAGUGAUAAGCUGGAGGAAGGUGGGGGAUGACGUCAAGUCCUCAUGGCCCUUAGUGUUGGGCUACACACGUGCUACAAUGGUAUUUACAACAGGAAGCAAGACGGCGACGUU
This 350-nucleotide ribosomal RNA is filed under the name uncultured bacterium. Its description in RNAcentral is "bacterial SSU rRNA". It matches the Rfam family "Bacterial small subunit ribosomal RNA", at positions 917 to 1264 of the family's 1533-position model. The record is from RNAcentral.